RNAcentral lists this ribosomal RNA (252 nucleotides) under uncultured bacterium. Its description in RNAcentral is "partial 16S ribosomal RNA". It matches the Rfam family "Bacterial small subunit ribosomal RNA", at positions 524 to 775 of the family's 1533-position model. The record is from RNAcentral.
UACAGAGGUCUCAAGCGUUGUUCGGAAUUACUGGGCGUAAAGGGUGCGCAGGCCGCGCGGGCAGUCAAAUGUGUAAUCCAGGGGCUCAACCCCUGAACUGCGCUUGAUACUUCCGCGCUCGAGCUUUGGAGAGGAGUCUGGAAUUCUCGGUGUAGCAGUGAAAUGCGUGGAUAUCGAGAAGAACACUUAGGGCGUAGGCAAGACUCUGGACAAAUGCUGACGCUCAUGCACGAAGGCUAGGGUAGCGAACGG